RNAcentral lists this ribosomal RNA (271 nucleotides) under uncultured bacterium. RNAcentral describes it as "partial 16S ribosomal RNA". It matches the Rfam family "Bacterial small subunit ribosomal RNA", at positions 247 to 507 of the family's 1533-position model. The record is from RNAcentral.
AGUUGGUGAGGUAAAGGCUCACCAAGCCGACGAUCUGUAGCUGGUCUGAGAGGACGACCAGCCACACUGGGACUGAGACACGGCCCCAGACUCCUACGGGAGGCAGCAGUGGGGAAUUUUUGGACAAUGGGGCGCAAGCCUGAUCCAGCAAUGCCGCGUGCAGGAUGAAGGCCUUCGGGUUGUAAACUGCUUUUGUACGGAACGAAACGGUGAGCUCUAAUACAGUUUGCUAAUGACGGUACCGUAAGAAUAAGCACCGGCUAACUACGUG